AGUGAACGCUGGCGGUAGGCCUAACACAUGCAAGUCGAACGGCAGCACAGUAAGAGCUUGCUCUUACGGGUGGCGAGUGGCGGACGGGUGAGGAAUACAUCGGCAUCUACUUUUUCGUGGGGGAUAACGUAGGGAAAAUUACGCUAAUACCGCAUACGACCUACGGGUGAAAGCAGGGGAUCUUCGUACCUUUCGCGAUUGAAUGAGCCGAUGUCGGAUUAGCUAGUUGGCGGGGUAAAGGCCCACAAAGGCGACGAUCAGUAGCUGGUCUGAGAGGAUGAUCAGCCAAACUGGAACUGAGACACGGUCCAGACUCCUACGGGAGGCAGCAGUGGGGAAUAUUGGACAAUGGGCGCAAGCCUGAUCCAGCCAUACCGCGUGGGUGAAGAAGGCCUUCGGGUGGUAAAGCCCUUUUGUUGGGAAAGAAAAGCAGCAGGUUAAUACCCCGCUGUUCUGACGGUACCCAAAGAAUAAGCACCGGCUAACUUCGUG
This 492-nucleotide ribosomal RNA is filed under the name uncultured bacterium. RNAcentral describes it as "partial 16S ribosomal RNA". It matches the Rfam family "Bacterial small subunit ribosomal RNA", at positions 29 to 507 of the family's 1533-position model. The record is from RNAcentral.